This 512-nucleotide ribosomal RNA is filed under the name Oreina ganglbaueri. RNAcentral describes it as "partial 16S ribosomal RNA". It matches the Rfam family "Bacterial large subunit ribosomal RNA", at positions 1830 to 2604 of the family's 2925-position model. RNAcentral also lists the same sequence under 1 other name. Lineage: Eukaryota; Metazoa; Arthropoda; Insecta; Coleoptera; Chrysomelidae. The record is from RNAcentral.
UCCUUUUGUAGAUAAUUUAAGGUCUAGCCUGCCCACUGAAAUUUUAAAUGGCCGUGGUAUUUUGACCGUGCUAAGGUAGCAUAAUCAUUAGUUUUUUAAUUAAAAACUGGAAUGAAAGGUUGGAUGAGAAAAUAGCUGUCUCUAUUAGAUUUAAUUAGAAUUUUAUUUUUAAGUUAAAAAGCUUAAUUAUUAUUAAAAGACGAGAAGACCCUAUAGAGUUUAAUUAUUUAGUAAAAAUUAUAUUUUAGUAUUAAUUUAUUUAUUUUAUUAAAUAAUUUAAUUGGGGUGAUUGAAAAAUUUAAUUAACUUUUUUUAUUUAAGAACAUUAAUUUAUGAAUAAAUGAUCCAAUAUUUUUGAUUAUAAGAUAAAAUUACCUUAGGGAUAACAGCGUAAUUUUUUUAGAAAGUUCAUAUUAAAAAAAAAGAUUGCGACCUCGAUGUUGGAUUAAAAUAAAUUUUUGGUGUAGAAGCUAAAAUAUUAGGUCUGUUCGACCUUUAAAAUUUUACAUGAU